CACGUAGGGGGCGAGCGUUGUUCGGAUUUACUGGGCGUAAAGCGCGCGUAGGCGGGUCGCUAAGUCAGGGGUGAAAUCCCGAGGCUUAACCUCGGAACUGCCUUUGAUACUGACGACCUGGAGAUCGGGAGAGGUUGGUGGAAUUCCGAGUGUAGAGGUGAAAUUCGUAGAUAUUCGGAGGAACACCAGAAGCGAAGGCGGCCAACUGGCCCGAUACUGACGCUGAGGCGCGAAAGCGUGGGGAGCAAACGGG
This 253-nucleotide ribosomal RNA is filed under the name uncultured bacterium. Its description in RNAcentral is "partial 16S ribosomal RNA". It matches the Rfam family "Bacterial small subunit ribosomal RNA", at positions 524 to 776 of the family's 1533-position model. The record is from RNAcentral.